This 497-nucleotide ribosomal RNA is filed under the name uncultured bacterium. Its description in RNAcentral is "partial 16S ribosomal RNA". It matches the Rfam family "Bacterial small subunit ribosomal RNA", at positions 28 to 507 of the family's 1533-position model. The record is from RNAcentral.
GAUGAACGCUGGCGGCGUGCCUAAUACAUGCAAGUCGAGCGAACGGACGAGAAGCUUGCUUCUCUGAUGUUAGCGGCGGACGGGUGAGUAACACGUGGAUAACCUACCUAUAAGACUGGGAUCACUUCGGGAAACCGGAGCUAAUACCGGAUAAUAUUUUGAACCGCAUGGUUCAAUAGUGAAAGACGGUCUUGCUGUCACUUAUAGAUGGAUCCGCGCUGCAUUAGCUAGUUGGUAAGGUAACGGCUUACCAAGGCAACGAUGCAUAGCCGACCUGAGAGGGUGAUCGGCCACACUGGAACUGAGACACGGUCCAGACUCCUACGGGAGGCAGCAGUAGGGAAUCUUCCGCAAUGGGCGAAAGCCUGACGGAGCAACGCCGCGUGAGUGAUGAAGGUCUUCGGAUCGUAAAACUCUGUUAUUAGGGAAGAACAUAUGUGUAAGUAACUGUGCACAUCUUGACGGUACCUAAUCAGAAAGCCACGGCUAACUACGUG